CCUACGGGUGGCAGCAGUGAGGAAUAUUGGUCAAUGGACGAGAGUCUGAACCAGCCAAGUAGCGUGAAGGAUGACUGCCCUAUGGGUUGUACACUUCUUUUAUAUGGGAAUAAAAUGUUCCACGUGUGGGAUUUUGUAUGUACCAUAUGAAUAAGGAUCGGCUAACUCCGUGCCAGCAGCCGCGGUAAUACGGCGGAUCCGAGCGUUAUCCGGAUUUAUUGGGUUUAAAGGGAGCGUAGGUGGAUUUGUAAGUCCGUUGUGAAAGUUUGCGGCUGAACCGUAAAAUUGCAGUUGAAACUGGCAGUCUUGAGUACAGUAGAGGUGGGCGGAAGUCGUGGUGUAGCGGUGAAAUGCUUAGAUAUCACGAAGAACUCCGAUUGCGAAGGCAGUUCACUGGACUGCAACUGACACUGAGGCUCAAAAGUGUGGGUAUCAAACAGGAUUAGAUACCCGUGUAGUC
Molecule: ribosomal RNA, 460 nt
Filed under: uncultured bacterium
Lineage: Bacteria
Description: partial 16S ribosomal RNA
Rfam family: Bacterial small subunit ribosomal RNA
Source: RNAcentral